RNAcentral lists this ribosomal RNA (448 nucleotides) under uncultured bacterium. RNAcentral describes it as "bacterial SSU rRNA". It matches the Rfam family "Bacterial small subunit ribosomal RNA", at positions 28 to 492 of the family's 1533-position model. The record is from RNAcentral.
GACGAACGCUGGCGGCGUGCUUAACACAUGCAAGUCGAACGGAAAGGCCCUUCGGGGUACUCGAGUGGCGAACGGGUGAGUAACACGUGGGUGAUCUGCCCUGCACUUUGGGAUAAGCCUGGGAAACUGGGUCUAAUACCGGAUAGGACUACGGCCUGCAUGGGUUGUGGUGGAAAGCUUUUGCGGUGUGGGAUGGGCCCGCGGCCUAUCAGCUUGUUGGUGGGGUGAUGGCCUACCAAGGCGACGACGGGUAGCCGGCCUGAGAGGGUGACCGGCCACACUGGGACUGAGAUACGGCCCAGACUCCUACGGGAGGCAGCAGUGGGGAAUAUUGCACAAUGGGCGCAAGCCUGAUGCAGCGACGCCGCGUGGGGGGAUGACGGCCUUCGGUUGUAACCUACUUUCUAGUAGGGACGAAGCGUAAGUGACGGUACCUAUAGAAGAAGCA